AAGUCGUAACAAGGUUUCCGUAGGUGAACCUGCGGAAGGAUCAUUAUCCUAUUGCGUAGAGCUCUUCUGAGCACUACAAGCGCUACACUCUAUAGUGUUGCGUUACAAUGCACAGUGAGCGGGCCUCGUUCCGUUCACUUGAAAUCCGUGCUCGCUCGAGUCCGGUCGGGUACCUAAGUGUGCGCAAGCACACACAAGCAGCAGAUGCUCGUCUGCUGUGUGGUGUAAAGAUUAUUCUCGCCGAAGAAUAACGCCCGCUUAGCGCAGUCAUUUCUACUACAAACUUAUAUCGCAUUUAACUAUGUUGUAUGUGUAAAACACUGUCUCACUUACUUACGAGCGAGAUAUUAACACAAAUACAACCCUAUGCGGUGGAUCAUUUGGCUC
RNAcentral lists this unclassified non-coding RNA (387 nucleotides) under fungal sp. RNAcentral describes it as "partial internal transcribed spacer region". The stretch from base 1 to 46 matches the Rfam family "Eukaryotic small subunit ribosomal RNA", at positions 1786 to 1831 of the family's 1831-position model. Lineage: Eukaryota; Fungi. The record is from RNAcentral.